GACGAACGCUGGCGGCGUGCUUAACACAUGCAAGUCGAACGGAAAGACCCUGCUUUUGUGGGGUGCUCGAGUGGCGAACGGGUGAGUAACACGUGAGUAACCUGCCCUUGACUUUGGGAUAACUUCAGGAAACUGGGGCUAAUACCGGAUAGGAGCUCCUGCCGCAUGGUGGGGGUUGGAAAGUUUCGGCGGUUGGGGAUGGACUCGCGGCUUAUCAGCUUGUUGGUGGGGUAGUGGCUUACCAAGGCUUUGACGGGUAGCCGGCCUGAGAGGGUGACCGGCCACAUUGGGACUGAGAUACGGCCCAGACUCCUACGGGAGGCAGCAGUGGGGAAUAUUGCACAAUGGGCGGAAGCCUGAUGCAGCAACGCCGCGUGCGGGAUGACGGCCUUCGGGUUGUAAACCGCUUUCGCCUGUGACGAAGCGUGAGUGACGGUAAUGGGUAAAGAAGCACCGGCUAACUACGU
RNAcentral lists this ribosomal RNA (467 nucleotides) under uncultured bacterium. Its description in RNAcentral is "partial 16S ribosomal RNA". It matches the Rfam family "Bacterial small subunit ribosomal RNA", at positions 28 to 506 of the family's 1533-position model. The record is from RNAcentral.